GAUGAACGCUGGCGGCGUGCCUAAUACAUGCAAGUCGAGCGAACAGACGAGGAGCUUGCUCCUCUGACGUUAGCGGCGGACGGGUGAGUAACACGUGGAUAACCUACCUAUAAGACUGGGAUAACUUCGGGAAACCGGAGCUAAUACCGGAUAAUAUAUUGAACCGCAUGGUUCAAUAGUGAAAGACGGUUUUGCUGUCACUUAUAGAUGGAUCCGCGCCGCAUUAGCUAGUUGGUAAGGUAACGGCUUACCAAGGCAACGAUGCGUAGCCGACCUGAGAGGGUGAUCGGCCACACUGGAACUGAGACACGGUCCAGACUCCUACGGGAGGCAGCAGUAGGGAAUCUUCCGCAAUGGGCGAAAGCUUGACGGAGCAACGCCGCGUGAGUGAUAAAGGUCUUCGGAUCGUAAAACUCUGUUAUUAGGGAAGAACAAAUGUGUAAGUAACUAUGCACGUCUUGACGGUACCUAAUCAGAAAGCCACGGCUAACUACAUG
RNAcentral lists this ribosomal RNA (497 nucleotides) under uncultured bacterium. Its description in RNAcentral is "partial 16S ribosomal RNA". It matches the Rfam family "Bacterial small subunit ribosomal RNA", at positions 28 to 507 of the family's 1533-position model. The record is from RNAcentral.